Molecule: ribosomal RNA, 465 nt
Filed under: Vreelandella stevensii
Lineage: Bacteria; Pseudomonadati; Pseudomonadota; Gammaproteobacteria; Oceanospirillales; Halomonadaceae
Description: partial 16S ribosomal RNA
Rfam family: Bacterial small subunit ribosomal RNA
Source: RNAcentral
CCUACGGGUGGCAGCAGAGGGGAAUAUUGGACAAUGGGGGGAACCCUGAUCCAGCCAUGCCGCGUGUGUGAAGAAGGCCCUCGGGUUGUAAAGCACUUUCAGUGAGGAAGAACGCCUGGUGGUUAAUACCCAUCAGGAAAGACAUCACUCACAGAAGAAGCACCGGCUAACUCCGUGCCAGCAGCCGCGGUAAUACGGAGGGUGCGAGCGUUAAUCGGAAUUACUGGGCGUAAAGCGCGCGUAGGUGGCUUGAUAAGCCGGUUGUGAAAGCCCCGGGCUCAACCUGGGAACGGCAUCCGGAACUGUCAAGCUAGAGUGCAGGAGAGGAAGGUAGAAUUCCCGGUGUAGCGGUGAAAUGCGUAGAGAUCGGGAGGAAUACCAGUGGCGAAGGCGGCCUUCUGGACUGACACUGACACUGAGGUGCGAAAGCGUGGGUAGCAAACAGGAUUAGAUACCCGAGUAGUC